GAAAUGUAAUAAAUAAUAUCAAUUAUAAAAUUUAGUAAAUUAUUAAAUCUUUAAACGCACAUUACGCCCCUUAGUAUUCUGUAGGGUAUGCCUAUUUAAGCGUUAUCUACACCCUUAAGCUCUACUUAGUGUUAGGCGUCUAUCCCGCCUUUGCGCGUAGACUUACUCUAAAUAUAUUAGUAGCGGUCCUUAUUCCCUCCUACGUAGUAUAUUACGCUUCUUAAGGCUACGGCGGCCCACGUCUAAUAAGCUGAACCCCCCUAUCUUUAACUUCGGAUUAGGUAGGGAUACCCGCUAAACUUAAGC
RNAcentral lists this unclassified non-coding RNA (306 nucleotides) under plant metagenome. Its description in RNAcentral is "partial contains 5.8S ribosomal RNA, internal transcribed spacer 2, and large subunit ribosomal RNA". The stretch from base 1 to 105 matches the Rfam family "5.8S ribosomal RNA", at positions 50 to 154 of the family's 154-position model. The record is from RNAcentral.